CCAGAGGGUUGGGCGAUCGCGUCAUGUGCAAACAUGUCGAGGAAAGUCCGGGCUCCACGUAACGACGGUGCCGGGUAACGCCCGGCGGGGGUGACCCCAGGGACAGUGCCACAGAGAGCAGACCGCCCCGGCGCACGCCGGGGUAAGGGUGAAAGGGUGCGGUAAGAGCGCACCGCGGGGCCGGUAACGGCAACGGCACGGCAAACCCCACCGGGAGCAAGACCGAAUAGGGGUGGCAAAUGGGUUUGUUGCAACUCGUCGCCCGGGUUGGUUGCUGGAGGCGGCAUGCAAAUGUCGUCCGAGAGGAAUGAUCGCCCAGUUCCCGUUUCGGCGGGGAUGGACAGAACCCGGCUUACAGACCCUCUGGCACC
RNAcentral lists this RNase P RNA (371 nucleotides) under Sphingomonas oligophenolica. RNAcentral describes it as "Bacterial RNase P class A". It matches the Rfam family "Bacterial RNase P class A". From Rfam's summary of the family: Ribonuclease P (RNase P) is a ubiquitous endoribonuclease, found in archaea, bacteria and eukarya as well as chloroplasts and mitochondria. Lineage: Bacteria; Pseudomonadati; Pseudomonadota; Alphaproteobacteria; Sphingomonadales; Sphingomonadaceae. The record is from Rfam by way of RNAcentral.